Molecule: long non-coding RNA, 2806 nt
Organism: Hipposideros armiger (great roundleaf bat)
Lineage: Eukaryota; Metazoa; Chordata; Mammalia; Chiroptera; Hipposideridae
Exons: 3
Source: RefSeq, a predicted model, not a curated record
CGAGGAGCCGCAUAAGCUGACAGAACAAAGCCCACGAGCGCAAAGGGCCAUAAGCCGGGCCUUUUCCUGAAAGCCAGACUUUUACAUGGUUGUUGUGAGGAUUAAAGAUCGCGUCUGUUCUGCCACCCGGUCACUCGCUCUGUGAGGGAAGUCCGCCGUCAUGUUGAGCAGUCCUAUGGAGAGGCCAUGGAGUGAGAAACUGAGGCCUCGUGUCAGCAGCUAUCUGAGUGAGCCAUCUUAGAAGUGGACCCUCCAGCCCCGGUCAAGCUUUCAGAUGACUGCAGCCCUUGCCAACAUCUUGACUACCACCUCAUGAGACACCUGGGGCCAUAAACAUCCAAUGAAGCCGCUCUCAAAUUCCUGAGGCACAGAAUCUGUGUGAUAACAUGCUUACGUUAAGCCACAAAAUUUGGAGUAAUUUGUUCCUCCAAUCGAUAUCUAACACAAUAGGCUGGAUUACGCUUAUAUAAGAAAGAGACAAAGAGACAUAGAAAGAAAGACCUGAAAAUGAGGAGGAGUUAAGAGGAGGAAGAAUAGAAAGAGCAUACAGUGAAGAUAAAUCCAAAGUAUUCAGUCUUUUCGAGAGAGACAGGAUGAGCUUAGGGCAACGGAUAUAAAAAUUGGACUUUGGGGACAGAGAGAUGUUAAAAGAUAUACUUAGGGAACUUUGAUGUGCCAUGUGACAUAAAUCUCUCUCUUGUGUACCUGAAAAUAUUUAAGUAAAGCUCUCUAUAUUUUUAAAAUAAUAAAUAAUAAUAAUCUAACACUGCCCAGUGACUUAAUGUGUCCCCAGUCUCAUCACCCAUUUAUCUAAGUCAAGACCCUAGUAGUUUUAUCCUCUUUUACUAGAUACUCAAUUUCCCAGUGUUUCUUAUAGCAAGGGGUGGUCACAGGCAAAGUUCUGGCCAUUAGUUGAGAACACUUAUUAAGCACUUAAAAGAAUGCCUUGCCCAUAUUAUACAAUAAACAUAAAUUCUCAUUUUUUUUAAGAGUUUAAAUAGUAAAAACUUAGUAUUCAAAAUCUUCAACAACAGGAUCCUCACAAAAUGUGGCCUGUCCACUCCUGAUUUAGGGCCUACAGAUAAUCUGUAAUCAUUAGCUCUUGGGCAGAUGUGGAAUAAAUUUGGUUUUUAACUCUUCAGGGAAGAGAUUUUCAAACAUACAAAAGCAGAGAGAUUCUUAUACUGAAUCUCCAUCUAUGCGUCACCCAAUGUCAGCAACUAGCAAUGUGUUUUCUAUCUUGUUUAAUCUGUCACUUUCCCUAUAAAUAUUGGGUGACUUUUUUGAAGUCAUUGAUAAGUCAUGUUAAUUUCACACACACAAAAAUUAAAUAUGUGUAUAUAUCUCCAGAGCUAGUUGAUUUUAAAAAGACUUUCCUGUAUUUAUUCUGAAUGUAAGACCUGCGACUGAGGUCCUAUUAACUGCAGUUGAAAAAGUAUGGGUUUCGGAGCUGUCUAUAGAUUGGGUUAAAAUUCCAGUUACACCACUUUCUAGCUAUGUGAUCAGGAGCAAAUUACUUACUUUCUGUGAGCCCCAGUUUUUUUCACCUGCAAAUAGGAGCCAAUCAGCAGUCAGGACCGACUCUCCAGAGCCCUUGUGAGAAAUAAAUAGCAGAACAAUGGUGAGUAAUAGCUGUAAUUUGCUAAACAAGCCAGGCACUGCCCUAAGCACUUUUGCUUUUGUAUCUUUAGUCCUUGGCACUUGGCUCAGCAAAUGUUCCCUUUCAGCCUCAGAAGCAGGUUUUACAGCAUUGAAGAUGACAGAGUGGUGGUGUGGGCUGUGGAAGGCUGGGGAGAGAAAGGAGUCCUCCACAAAAGGGGGUCUGGUGGUGGCUGGAGAAAGCCUUUUCAGAUUUAGAAAGGAGUGCUGGUGAUGGCAGCAGGGAGGGUGAGGGGUGGAGAGGAGAGGAAGGAAUGAGGUUAAAAGGAAGCGUGGAGUCAGGAACCUAUCUUGUGGCCCUCCUGAGCGCUCUGCACACUGGCUCUGCUGACUUCACACAGCCCCUCCCAGCAGUUAUCACUCUGCACUUAACCUUGGGGCCCAGUAGCUGGUCCAAACUCAGGCCUAGGAAAGGGCCCAGAUUCCAACCACAUCAGUCUCAAGAUUCUUCCUUCAUUCCACAGGGCCAUGUUAUGCCCUUUUUAAGAGAUCUGAGUGACAGUUAUGUUUUACAAAACUGGCAUCUGGUAUGACAUGUUAGACAUGGUUUUGAGAAUGGAGGCUAUCAGGAGGGUGGGGUGGGGAAGCAGACAGGUGACCCGAGGUUGGCCCCAGAAAGACCACAGCCCCCAUUACCCAGGAAGCCGGUUCCCGACACCUCCUAGGCUCCUGAGGUUCCCAUUACUGUUUGACGGACCUGCAGAUGACAUUUGGUCUGCAAAUCAGGGCUAGCUCCAUGGGCCCGUCAGUGGUCCUGACCACCUCCGUGGGUACGAGGGCUGCCUGACCUUGGGAACCCAACCACUUAUUGCUCAGAUCAGCAAUAAACUGGGAACGGAUUCUAAGCGUGAGGAAGGGAUGAUUCUAAAAUCAAUCUUUAUUAGACGGGCCUUCCUUUUUUUCUAUUUCUCUGUGUAGAGGGCUUUGUGUCUAAACAGGGCUUUAAAUGUACACGAGGAGUUCUAACAAUAUUGCUCAAAUGGGGAUCUGUGGACUCAUAAGACUCAAGUGAGGAAUGAGUUAAAAAUGCAUAUUCCCAGGCACUGCCACCAAAAUUCUGAUUCAGAUGGUCUGGGGUAGGGAUCAAGAAUCAGCUUUUUAGGGCCGGCCGAGUGGCGCGAUGGUUAAGAACUCGCUUGGGAUGCCA